Molecule: ribosomal RNA, 498 nt
Filed under: uncultured bacterium
Lineage: Bacteria
Description: partial 16S ribosomal RNA
Rfam family: Bacterial small subunit ribosomal RNA
Source: RNAcentral
AUUGAACGCUGGCGGCAUGCCUUACACAUGCAAGUCGAACGGUAACAGGUCUUCGGAUGCUGACGAGUGGCGAACGGGUGAGUAAUACAUCGGAACGUGCCUGGUAGUGGGGGAUAACUACUCGAAAGAGUGGCUAAUACCGCAUGAGAUCUACGGAUGAAAGCAGGGGAUCGCAAGACCUUGUGCUACUAGAGCGGCCGAUGGCAGAUUAGGUAGUUGGUGGGAUAAAAGCUUGCCAAGCCGACGAUCUGUAGCUGGUCUGAGAGGACGAUCAGCCACACUGGGACUGAGACACGGCCCAGACUCCUACGGGAGGCAGCAGUGGGGAAUUUUGGACAAUGGGCGCAAGCCUGAUCCAGCAAUGCCGCGUGCAGGAUGAAGGCCUUCGGGUUGUAAACUGCUUUUGUACGGAACGAAAAGCCCUGGGUUAAUACCCUGGGGUCAUGACGGUACCGUAAGAAUAAGCACCGGCUAACUACGUGCCAGCCGCCGCAGUAA